AGGGAUCCCCUUUCUCCACAUCCUCUCCAGCAAUUGUUGUUUCUUCCCUUGUCAAUUUUUGCCAUUCUAACUGGCAUAAGGUGGUAUCUCAGUGUGGUUUUGAUUUGAAUUUC
Long non-coding RNA from Ailuropoda melanoleuca (giant panda), 113 nucleotides. RefSeq lists it as uncharacterized. NCBI's taxonomy places the organism in Eukaryota, Metazoa, Chordata, Mammalia, Carnivora, Ursidae. The record is from RefSeq and is a predicted model, not a curated record. The transcript has 2 exons.